GAUGAAGAACGUAGCGAAAUGCGAUAAGUAAUGUGAAUUGCAGAAUUCAGUGAAUCAUCGAAUCUUUGAACGCACAUUGCGCCCGCCAGUAUUCUGGCGGGCAUGCCUGUUCGAGCGUCAUUUCAACCAUCAAGCCCCCGGCUUGUGUUGGGGACCUGCGGCUGCCGCAGGCCCUGAAAACCAGUGGCGGGCUCGCUAGUCACUCCGAGCGUAGUAGUUACAUCUCGCUCAGGGCGUGCUGCGGGUUCCGGCCGUUAAAAGCCUUAUUUACCCAAGGUUGACCUCGGAUCAGGUAGGAAGACCCGCUGAACUUAAGCAUAUCAAUAAGCGGAGG
This 334-nucleotide unclassified non-coding RNA is filed under the name soil metagenome. RNAcentral describes it as "partial contains 5.8S ribosomal RNA, internal transcribed spacer 2, and large subunit ribosomal RNA". The stretch from base 1 to 120 matches the Rfam family "5.8S ribosomal RNA", at positions 35 to 154 of the family's 154-position model. The record is from RNAcentral.